AAAAGAGGAGGAAGCCAAGAUGUUCCGAUUAUUAUUUGCACUAAGCUUCGUUUUUAUCCUGAGUACCUUUGCAGUCUCAAAGAACCAAUUUGGUUCGAAGAAUGGAACACAGCAAAGUCAGUGCGGAAAGUCCGUUUCGAAGGACAGUUGUUCCUGCCGCGACGGCAGAGACGGCAGAGAUGGCCAAAACGGAAAAGAUGGCCGCGAUGGACGCGACGGGAAGAUAGGAACAAAGG
Long non-coding RNA from Pocillopora damicornis (cauliflower coral), 236 nucleotides. The record is from RefSeq and is a predicted model, not a curated record. NCBI's taxonomy places the organism in Eukaryota, Metazoa, Cnidaria, Anthozoa, Scleractinia, Pocilloporidae.